UUGAGGCAGAUGGGGGGUAGUUGUCUUACCAUGCUGGAUCCAACCUGUUGAAGAAGUCCUUGUUGGGAUGACGUCGAUGAUACCGAGGGACGUCUUGAUCCUCGAACACUAUUCAUACUCGAACUGAGAAGAUAUGGCACGCUACUACUUGUUAUUGGCAUUCCGCCUCCCUGCGUAUAUGAAAAAUGAACAAACGUUAUUUUCUUACCUCAUAAUUAAUGAUAUUUAUUAUCACCUAUACUUAAUAAGUUUAACGAUUCUAAAAGAUACAAAAUAUCGUGUUACCGUGGGCGGUGAAAGAUUAAUGUUCGAUCCACGUCGUUCUUGAGGCCCUAUACUUGAAUGUCGACGUACAGGUAAACCACCACCAGGUGUUCCACCUGGAGAACUGGCGCAAGAUGGUGCAACGCGUAUUUUAGGUGUCAUUAAAGUAUUAUCCGAAAGACGUCUACUCGUGAAGGCGUUAUGCACUUUUAAGAAAUUGCUAUCGUUCAUCGUUGAUGUGAACCAUCCUCCAAAAGCGUCUAAAAAUGGGAAAGGACCAUCGUUAAGAUUAAUCUUAUCAAUAUUUUCUUAUCGAUAGUUAAUAUUACGUACUGAACAUUGAAUUUUUCCGCGCCAUAUUUUCGGCUGAGGCCGUCCUAUCUGGUUCAGCUAAUCGUAAAGAUCGAGAAGAUAAUUUUCAAAGACAUUUUUCAACAAUAUAAUUACUUCGAAAAGUUUUCAUAUUUCUUACUCAUGCUAUUCUUUCUCGCCAUAUCUUCGGCGGACGAAGUCUUUCGUUGAUCGAUCCUUAAAUUCGGGAUGUUGAAUGGUGGUACGUGCAUGUUGUCCGUACUAUGCUGAUGUCGGAAAGGCCGAUAACGUUCCGGACUCGGUAAAGAGAGAUUGUCUAGAGUGAGCUUAUUUCUUUGAUUCCUAAAAAAUAUAGACACCAAUCGAUUAGUCUAUGAUAUUGUGAAAAAAAAAAAAAGAAAAAAAGAAAAAAGAAACAAAAAAUAGAGCAAAAGAAAAAAAAAAGAAGAAGAAGCUUACCUCUCUAUGUGAUUCAACAUUUCUUGAAGUACUUGGAAAAGUGACAUGAAUUGUUCCAAAUUUAAUCCUGGAUUGACAGUCUGAGGAAGUAACGAGGGCAUCGCUCGAGUUGCCAUCCAAUUAACGGAGAGACCGUAAUUCUUAUCGAUUUUCCAAAGGAAUUAUUUUUUACCAACCGGAAAUAUUUGAUCAUCGAUAAAACUUGAGCGGUAGGCCUUAGAUCAAUAUCCUUUUGAAGAAGUCUUGAAACUGCUUCUCUCAGAGGAAGCGUGACCGAUGGUAGAAUAAUUUCGACCCGAUCAUCGAGCUACAUAUAUGUACUCGGAACAAUUGUGAUUGGCUUGAAUCAAGGGUCUGCCUCGAUUGAAGAUAGCACAUAUUGUCAUUCCAAGACUAUACAUGUCGCUACUAAAGCUUCCUAAUUUUUUUUGUUGAAUUUCCGGUGCUAUAAAAAACGUACGAGGCCAUACAAGUAGGAGAUCGUCAAUCGAUCUAAUUAUUUUCUUACCUAAGUAAUCCAAAUUUGGUUGGGCCAUUUUUGACAUUCUACUUGUCCAUGGUUGUAUAGUAAAUGGUAUCUCA
This is a long non-coding RNA of Vespa velutina, 1617 nucleotides long. RefSeq lists it as uncharacterized. The transcript is spliced from 3 exons. The record is from RefSeq and is a predicted model, not a curated record. Lineage: Eukaryota; Metazoa; Arthropoda; Insecta; Hymenoptera; Vespidae.